RNAcentral lists this ribosomal RNA (454 nucleotides) under uncultured bacterium. RNAcentral describes it as "partial 16S ribosomal RNA". It matches the Rfam family "Bacterial small subunit ribosomal RNA", at positions 28 to 507 of the family's 1533-position model. The record is from RNAcentral.
GAUGAACGCUGACAGAAUGCUUAACACAUGCAAGUCAACUUGAACUUCGGUUUGGGUGGCGGACGGGUGAGUAACGCGUAAAGAACUUGCCUCACAGAUAGGGACAACAUUUGGAAACGAAUGCUAAUACCUGAUAUUAUGAUUAUAUGGCAUCGUAUAAUUAUGAAAGCUAUAUGCGCUGUGAGAGAGCUUCGCGUCCCAUUAGCUAGUUGGAGAGGUAACGGCUCACCAAGGCGAUGAUGGGUAGCCGGCCUGAGAGGGUGAUCGGCCACAAGGGGACUGAGACACGGCCCUUACUCCUACGGGAGGCAGCAGUGGGGAAUAUUGGACAAUGGACCAAGAGUCUGAUCCAGCAAUUCUGUGUGCACGAUGAAGUUUUUCGGAAUGUAAAGUGCUUUCAGUUGGGAAGAAAAAAAUGACGGUACCAACAGAAGAAGUGACGGCUAAAUACGUG